Molecule: long non-coding RNA, 443 nt
Organism: Leopardus geoffroyi (Geoffroy's cat)
Lineage: Eukaryota; Metazoa; Chordata; Mammalia; Carnivora; Felidae
Exons: 2
Source: RefSeq, a predicted model, not a curated record
AAGAUCCGGGAGGACAGACACUUUUCCUGCUUCAGUGGUUGCUACCUUCCAGCCUUUAGAACACGUGCCUCCCACAUACUGAAUGCUUGAUAAAUAUUUACUGAAUGAAAGAAUGAAUUGAAGUUCUAGACUCUCAGGACUUAACUAAGAUGCCCCAAGCCUAGGUGGCGCUGUUCUCACGCAUCAGGGAGGAUCCUGAAAAGGGGACCACUGCUAGCCCUGGGGAGGAAAGAAAAUAAAGAAUAAACACUGUAACAAAAUUCAGAAGCUGCUGAGACUACGGUAUCUCAACGUCACUCUUAACUUCCACUCUGACUGGCUUUUGAACUGAUGGACCUUGUGGGGGCUGACUUUCUAAGAAUACUAUCCUGAGAACUUCAUAGAACAUUCUAAGCGGUUACGGCCUUCCUCUGAGCUUAGUGCAUAAUAAAGGAGCCUGGGAA